Molecule: ribosomal RNA, 1447 nt
Filed under: human metagenome
Description: bacterial LSU rRNA
Rfam family: Bacterial large subunit ribosomal RNA
Source: RNAcentral
CCGCGUACUUUUUGUAGAACGGUCCGGCGAGUUACGCUGGCUGGCGAGGUUAAGUUCUGAAGGAACGGAGCCGAAGGGAAACCAAGUCUUAAUAGGGCGAGUAGUCAGUCGGAGUAGACCCGAAACCGGGUGAUCUAUCCAUGUCCAGGUUGAAGUUGCCGUAAAAGGCAAUGGAGGACCGAACCCACAUCCGUUGAAAAGGGUGGGGAUGAGGUGUGGAUAGGGGAGAAAUUCCAAUCGAACCCGGAGAUAGCUGGUUCUCCUCGAAAUAGCUUUAGGGCUAGCCUCAUACAAGUCUUGCGGAGGUAGAGCACUGAAUUCCUACGGGGGCGUCAAAGCUUACCAAGGGAUAUCAAACUCCGAAUGCCGUGUAGAUGAUGUAUGGGAGUCAGACUAUCCGAGAUAAGUUGGGUAGUCGAAAGGGAAAGAGCCCAGACCUGCAGCUAAGGCCCCAAAAUGUGUGUUAAGUGGAAAAGGAUGUGGGAUUUCGAAGACAACUAGGAUGUUGGCUCAGAAGCAGCCACACAUUCAAAGAGUGCGUAAUAGCUCACUAGUCGAGAGGUCCUGCGCCGAAAAUGUCCGGGGCUGAAACACACUGCCGAAGCUCAGGGAUGAACAGUGAUCAAUACAGAUCAAUGCAAGAGGAAAGCUUCUUGAUGAAAUCAAGAAGAUUCCAAAACAGAUGAAACAGACUGCUGUUGGUCUGCGUUGAUCACUGUUCAUCGGUAGAGGAGCAUUCUUAAAGAGACGAAGCUGUACCGAAAGGAGCAGUGGAUUUUUAAGAAGAGAGAAUGCCGGAAUGAGUAGCGAGAAAGAGGUGAGAAUCCUCUUGGCCGAAUAUCUAAGGUUUCCAGGGUAAAGCUGAUCUGCCCUGGGUAAGUCGGGGCCUAAGGCGAGGUCGAAAGACGUAGUCGAUGGAUAACAGGUUGAAAUUCCUGUACUAUCCUGUAACAGAACUGUGGGGACGCAGACAGAGAGCACAAGCCGGGAAUGGAAAGACCGGUGCAAGCGAGGUAGGAGUACAUCAGGCAAAUCCGGUGUGCAAUCCGAAGACGUGAUGCGGAUCGAAAAGAAGUAGAGAAGUGUGUGAGCUGGCUGCCAAGAAAAGCCGCUAUUGUUUACAGGAUACCCGUACCGUAAACCGACACAGGUGGAUGAGGAGAGAAUCCUAAGGCCGACGGGAGAAGCAUUGUUAAGGAACUCGGCAAAAUGACUCCGUAACUUCGGGAGAAGGAGUGCCAUGCGAAUGGCCGCAGAGAAUUGGCCCAAGCAACUGUUUAGCAAAAACACAGGUCUAUGCGAAACCGAAAGGUGAGGUAUAUGGGCUGACGCCUGCCCGGUGCUGGAAGGUUAAGGGGAGAGGUUAGCGCAAGCGAAGCUUUGAACUUAAGCCCCAGUAAACGGCGGCCGUAACUAUAACGGUCCUAAGGUAGCGAAAUUCCUUGUC